GGGUGGUUUUCCCCAUACUGUUCUCGUGGUAGUGAAUAAGUCUCAGGAGAUCUGGUGGUUUUAUAAGGGGAAACCUCUUUCACUUGGAUCUCAUUCUGCCUUGCCUGCCACCAUGUAAGAUGUCCCUUGCUCUUCCACCAUGAUUGUGAGGCCUCUCCAGCCAUGUGAAACUGUCUGUGUAGGUUUUUUCUGGCUACUCCUGUUUCCUCCCACAUCCCAAAGGUGUGCCUAUGAGGUGAACUGCCAUGUCUACACAUCCCAGUAUGAGUGAGUGCAGGUGGUGUGCACGCGCCCUGCGAUGGGAGUGUGUCCUAUUCAGGGCUGGUUCCCGCCUUGCGCCCUAAGCUUUGGAGAUAGGCUUCGGCCACCCUCAACCCUGAACUGGAAUAAGCAGAAAACCACAUCUGGUCAGGAGCCCAGUGUGUCCCACUUGGACAAGAAUAGAAAUCUCUCUUCUGGAAUAUGAUCUUCUCUGGUUGGAGCCAAUGGUUUCUUUCAGACCUGAGAUAUCCUGAUGAAGCAGACCACACCUGCCCUCAGAGAUGACCUCAUGAGGAAGCUGAGCUGCAUAACAAACAUCUCUGCUGCUCAGCCACCUCCACUCUUUUUCAACAGACCUUGGAGAUAGCACAGCACCCACACCAAAAAAUCAGGAAGCUCUCUUAUCAGCAAUCUUUCUGUACCUAUGAAAUCAGACAUUCCAGCCAUGGCAGAACCUCCUGAGUGGGCCAGAGCCUCAGAGUCAGGAAAAGCUGGGGCCUAAUGAUGUUUCAAAUCAAAUCACUCUGUAGGGGAUUUUCCAUUUAACAUAUUGUGAUUGUGCAGUAACAUUAGUCUUUGCCAUUUAAUUUAUUAAAUUUUAAAAUCUUAUAAUAUCCUCAA
This 882-nucleotide long non-coding RNA is filed under the name Homo sapiens (human). Its description in RNAcentral is "HSALNT0353591". The record is from RNAcentral. Lineage: Eukaryota; Metazoa; Chordata; Mammalia; Primates; Hominidae.